UUUUGCCUUAGGUUGGCCCCGCUGUUAGAUACGCCAGGAAUACUUUCCUUAGUAUUCUUUCACGCUGCUUCCCCAGACCAGCAGCCAUUGCUGCCAGUUCAAGCCAUGACAGGCCAAUGUACUGAGGUGUUUGGGGAAGAGCCAACCAUUAAACCUUUACAUUAAUCUGUCAUUUGAGAUGGCUAUGUGCCAUAAUCUUUAAAUAAGUUAAAACUUUCAACAACGGAUCUCUUGGCUCUCGCAUCGAUGAAGAACGCAGCGAAAUGCGAUAAGUAAUGUGAAUUGCAGAAUUCAGUGAAUCAUCGAAUCUUUGAACGCACAUUGCGCCCUUUGGCAUUCCUCAGGGCAUGCCUGUUCGAGCGUCACUAAUAACCCCUUCACCAACAAUGUGGUAUUGGUUAAAGUGAGUUGCACUAGCGGUGCUGGGCUUACUUGACUGAAAUUGAUAGGCCAGAAAAGCAAACAAUGGCAACAGACUUUCAAAGUAUUAUGAAAUGCUAAACUAGUCUGUAGUUGGUUUGAUUCAGAGCCACUGGGCCCCCAUUAAGUCCAAACUUAGAGAGGUUGACCUCGGAUCAGGUAGGGAUACCCGCUGAACUUAAGCAUAUCAAUAAGCGGAGGAA
Molecule: ribosomal RNA, 623 nt
Filed under: Tuber caoi
Lineage: Eukaryota; Fungi; Ascomycota; Pezizomycetes; Pezizales; Tuberaceae
Description: eukaryotic LSU rRNA
Rfam family: 5.8S ribosomal RNA (bases 212-365)
Source: RNAcentral